GCAAAUGCUGAGAACGAGACUAGUAGACUUCCAGCGAAGCUCAGAGAGCCGGGUAAGGUGCGAGCCGGUGCUAGCGCAGAGGCCGAAUGGACUCGGGAGCUGCAAACCGAAAGGGAGUUUCCCAAUUAGGCUUUGACGGAGUGGACACCGUUAUCGGAGUCCAGGGUAUCGCCUCAGAAUACUGAGGCCGUACCUGAUUGAGAUGAUUGCCUAAUUUAGCUGACAAUCAAUUAGGGUGGUACCGCGAAGCAAAACCUCUCGCCCCUAUG
RNAcentral lists this non-coding RNA (269 nucleotides) under Chloroflexota bacterium. Its description in RNAcentral is "Chloroflexi bacterium T-box sequence". It matches the Rfam family "T-box leader". From Rfam's summary of the family: Uncharged tRNA acts as the effector for transcription antitermination of genes in the T-box leader family. Lineage: Bacteria; Bacillati; Chloroflexota. The record is from RNAcentral.